Molecule: ribosomal RNA, 418 nt
Filed under: uncultured eukaryote
Lineage: Eukaryota
Description: eukaryotic LSU rRNA
Rfam family: Eukaryotic large subunit ribosomal RNA
Source: RNAcentral
CUCAGGAUAGCUGGAACUUGUAGAAAUAGUUUUAUCAGGUAAAGCGAAUGAUUAGAAGCUCUGGGGAUGAAACAUCCUCGACUUAUUCUCAAACUUUAAAUAGGUAAGAUGAUUGCAGUACUUAAUUGACUGACAGUCUCUUGAAUAGUAAGUUCUUAGUGGGCCAUUUUUGGUAAGCAGAACUGGCGAUGUGGGAUGAACCAAACGUAAAGUUAAAGUGCCUAAAAGUACGUUCAUCAGAUACCACAAAAGGUGUUGAUUCAUCUUGACAGUUGGACAGUGGCCAUGGAAGUCGGAAUCUGCUAAGGAGUGUGUAACAACUCACCAACCGAAUGAAUUAGCCCUGAAAAUGGAUGGCGCUUAAACGUAUUACUUAUACUUUACCAUUAAGAUAAAUGCUAAAUCUUAAUGAGUAGGA